GUAGGUGGCAAGCGUUGUCCGGAAUUAUUGGGCGUAAAGCGCGCGCAGGCGGUCCUUUAAGUCUGAUGUGAAAGCCCACGGCUCAACCGUGGAGGGUCAUUGGAAACUGGGGGACUUGAGUACAGAAGAGGAAAGCGGAAUUCCAAGCGUAGCGGUGAAAUGCGUAGAGAUUUGGAGGAACACCAGUGGCGAAGGCGGCUUUCUGGUCUGUAACUGACGCUGAGGCGCGAAAGCGUGGGGAGCAAACAGGGAUUGGAUACCCUGGUAGUCCACGCCGUAAACGAUGAGUGCUAAGUGUUAGGGGGUUUCCCGCCCCCUUAGUGCUGCAGCUAACGCAUUAAGCACUCCGCCUGGGGAGUACGGCCGCAAGGCUG
Molecule: ribosomal RNA, 374 nt
Filed under: uncultured organism
Description: partial 16S ribosomal RNA
Rfam family: Bacterial small subunit ribosomal RNA
Source: RNAcentral